RNAcentral lists this ribosomal RNA (429 nucleotides) under uncultured bacterium. Its description in RNAcentral is "bacterial SSU rRNA". It matches the Rfam family "Bacterial small subunit ribosomal RNA", at positions 917 to 1344 of the family's 1533-position model. The record is from RNAcentral.
GGACCCGCACAAGUAGUGGAGCAUGUGGUUUAAUUCGAAGAUACGCGCAGAACCUUACCAACACUUGACAUGUUCGUCGCGACUUUGAGAGAUCAAAGUUUUCGGUUCGGCCGGACGAAACACAGGUGCUGCAUGGCUGUCGUCAGCUCGUGUCGUGAGAUGUUGGGUUAAGUCCCGCAACGAGCGCAACCCUCACUUUUAGUUGCCAUCAUUAAGUUGGGCACUCUGAAAGAACUGCCAGUGAUAAGCUGGAGGAAGGUGGGGAUGACGUCAAGUCCUCAUGGCCCUUACGUGUUGGGCUACACACGUGCUACAAUGGUAUCUACAACAGGAAGCAAGACUGCGAAGUUAAGCAAAUCCUUAAAAGAUACCUCAGUUCGGAUUGCACUCUGCAACUCGAGUGCAUGAAGCUGGAAUUACUAGUAAUCG